This is a non-coding RNA of Papio anubis (olive baboon), 45 nucleotides long. Lineage: Eukaryota; Metazoa; Chordata; Mammalia; Primates; Cercopithecidae. The record is from Rfam.
CCAACGGCCCUUUUCAGGGCCACCUAUCCACUCAGGAGAAAGAGU